AUAUAAAGUCGGACCUGCCCAGUGAAAGAUUUCAACGGCCGCGGUACUCUGACCGUGCAAAGGUAGCAUAAUCAUUUGCCUUUUAAUUGAAGGCUGGAAUGAAUGGUUUGACGAGGAUACAACUGUCUCCUUUAUGAUUACCUAAAAUUUUAUAUUAGGAUGAAAAAGUCCUAAUUUUAUUAAAAGACAAGAAGACCCUAUCGAGCUUAAUAUCAAUUAGUAAAUUAUAUCAUAAUUAAGGAUUUAUUACUAAAAAAUUUAGUUGGGGCAACUGAGGAGCAAACUAAGCCUCCUUUUAUUUUUAUAAAUAUAUUUAUUUUGAUCCAUUUUUGAUUAAGAGAAAUAGUUACCGUAGGGAUAACAGCAUUAUCCUCUUUGAGAGUUCCUAUCGAAAAGGGGGUUUGUGACCUCGAUGUUGGACCAAAGUAUCCUAAAGAUGUAGAAGUCUUUAAGGGUGUC
This 459-nucleotide ribosomal RNA is filed under the name unidentified. Its description in RNAcentral is "Eucithara sp. NP MNHN-IM-2007-17896 partial 16S ribosomal RNA". It matches the Rfam family "Bacterial large subunit ribosomal RNA", at positions 1845 to 2575 of the family's 2925-position model. The record is from RNAcentral.